GCCUUCGUGGUGUAGUGGUCAGCACGCUCGGCGUGUAUUCGAGAGGUCCGUGGCUCGAAUCCCGGUGAGGGCA
This is a non-coding RNA of Stegodyphus mimosarum, 73 nucleotides long. The record is from Rfam. NCBI's taxonomy places the organism in Eukaryota, Metazoa, Arthropoda, Arachnida, Araneae, Eresidae.